AGUGGCAGACGGGUGAGUAACGCGUGGGAACCUACUCUGGGGUCCGGAAUAACUUGGGGAAACUCAAGCUAAUACCGGAUACGUCCUUCGGGAGAAAGAUUUAUUGCCCCUGAAUGGGCCCGCGUCGGAUUAGCUAGUUGGUGAGGUAAUGGCUCACCAAGGCGACGAUCCGUAGCUGGUCUUAGAGGAUGAUCAGCCACACUGGGACUGAGACACGGCCCAGACUCCUACGGGAGGCAGCAGUGGGGAAUAUUGGACAAUGGGCGAAAGCCUGAUCCAGCCAUGCCGCGUGAGUGAUGAAGGCCUUAGGGUUGUGAAGCUCUUUCGCCUGGGAAGAUAAUGACGGUACCAGGAGAAGAAGCCCCGGCUAACUUCGUGCCAGCAGCCGCGGUAAUACGAAGGGGGCUAGCGUUGUUCGGAAUUACUGGGCGUAAAGCGCACGUAGGCGGAUCGUUAAGUCGGGGGUGAAAGCCCGGGGCUCAACCCCGGAAUUGCCUUCGAUACUGGCGGUCUUGAGGUCGAGAGAGGUGAGUGGAACUCCGAGUGUAGAGGUGAAAUUCGUAGAUAUUCGGAAGAACACCAGUGGCGAAGGCGGCUCACUGGCUCGAUUCUGACGCUGAGGUGCGAAAGCGUGUGGAGCAAACAGGAUUAGAUACCCUGGUAGUCCACGCCGUAAACGAUGGAAGCUAGCCGUCG
RNAcentral lists this ribosomal RNA (696 nucleotides) under uncultured Hyphomicrobiales bacterium. Its description in RNAcentral is "bacterial SSU rRNA". It matches the Rfam family "Bacterial small subunit ribosomal RNA", at positions 94 to 825 of the family's 1533-position model. Lineage: Bacteria; Pseudomonadati; Pseudomonadota; Alphaproteobacteria; Hyphomicrobiales. The record is from RNAcentral.